RNAcentral lists this long non-coding RNA (306 nucleotides) under Nicotiana benthamiana. RNAcentral's name for it is "long non-coding RNA (NBEN_LNC023323)". The record is from RNAcentral. Lineage: Eukaryota; Viridiplantae; Streptophyta; Magnoliopsida; Solanales; Solanaceae.
UUCAAGGUUAUUUUUGCAAACCCCAUCUCUAACAAUGGCUAGUUUUAGGUUGUGGUUCUUCUUCAUUCUUAUCUUGCUUUCAUGUCCUGCCUCCCAAAGUCGUCCGCUUGAGCUAUUAUUUUCACAAAGGAGAAGGGAGACAAUGAUGGAAAUUGCCCGAAAAAUUAUAAGGGAAAGAUCGAGACAUGAAAUUAAGUAUAAUGUGAACAGGAGAAGUCCUGGAGGACCUGACCCUAAACAUCAUUAGGGUAUGGUUUCAUAAUUUUUAAUCGGACGAGGCCAGUCCGCCAGAGGCAGAUGCAAAAU